CCCUUAGAUGUCCUGGGCCGCACGCGCGUUACACUGAUGCAUUCAACGAGCUUAUAACCUUGGCCGAGAGGCCUGGGCAAUCUUGUUAACGUGCAUCGUGAUAGGGAUAGAUUAUUGAAAUUAUUAAUCUUGAACGAGAAAUUCCUAGUAAACGCAGAUCAUCAAUCUGCAUUGAUUACGUCCCUGCCCUUUGUACACACCGCCCGUCGCACCUACCGAUUGGAUGGUCCGGUGAAGCCUCGGGAUUGUGGUUCUUGCCGCUUUAUUGUGGCGUGACCGCGAGAACUUGUCUAAACCUUAUCAUCUAGAGGAAGGUGAAGUCGUAACA
Molecule: ribosomal RNA, 328 nt
Filed under: uncultured eukaryote
Lineage: Eukaryota
Description: partial 18S ribosomal RNA
Rfam family: Eukaryotic small subunit ribosomal RNA
Source: RNAcentral